Molecule: ribosomal RNA, 239 nt
Filed under: uncultured Variovorax sp.
Lineage: Bacteria; Pseudomonadati; Pseudomonadota; Betaproteobacteria; Burkholderiales; Comamonadaceae
Description: partial 16S ribosomal RNA
Rfam family: Bacterial small subunit ribosomal RNA
Source: RNAcentral
UACAUCGGAACGUGCCCAAUUGUGGGGGAUAACGCAGCGAAAGCUGUGCUAAUACCGCAUACGAUCUACGGAUGAAAGCAGGGGAUCGCAAGACCUUGCGCGAAUGGAGCGGCCGAUGGCAGAUUAGGUAGUUGGUGAGGUAAAGGCUCACCAAGCCUUCGAUCUGUAGCUGGUCUGAGAGGACGACCAGCCACACUGGGACUGAGACACGGCCCAGACUCCUACGGGAGGCAGCAGGU